This 29-nucleotide non-coding RNA is filed under the name Homo sapiens (human). Lineage: Eukaryota; Metazoa; Chordata; Mammalia; Primates; Hominidae. The record is from RNAcentral.
GAGCAAUCGAUUUGGCAGCAGACACCAGC